This 530-nucleotide ribosomal RNA is filed under the name uncultured delta proteobacterium. RNAcentral describes it as "bacterial SSU rRNA". It matches the Rfam family "Bacterial small subunit ribosomal RNA", at positions 8 to 505 of the family's 1533-position model. Lineage: Bacteria; Deltaproteobacteria. The record is from RNAcentral.
AGAGUUUGAUCAUGGCUCAGAAUGAACGCUGGCGGCGUGCCUUACACAUGCAAGUCGUGCGGAGUCACGGCAGAGGGGCAACCCGAUGCAGUGGCUCAGCGGCAAACGGGUGAGUAACGCGUGGGUAAUCUACCCCUCGGUCAGGAAUAACCCGCCGAAAGGCGGGCUAAUACCCGAUAACACUGACGCUCUGCGGAGUGUCUUUCAAAGAAGGCCUCUGUUUACAAGCUUUCGCCGGAGGAUGAGCCCGCGUACCAUUAGCUAGUUGGCAGGGUAAUGGCCUACCAAGGCAACGAUGGUUAGCUGGUCUGAGAGGAUGGCCAGCCACACUGGAACUGAGACACGGUCCAGACUCCUACGGGAGGCAGCAGUGAGGAAUCUUGCGCAAUGGGGGAAACCCUGACGCAGCAACGCCGCGUGAGUGAGGAAGGCCUUCGGGUCGUAAAGCUCUGUCAGAUGGGAAGAAAUGGGUGGGGGCUAAUAUCGUCCAUCCUUGACGGUACCAUCAGAGGAAGCACCGGCUAACUCCG